CUCGGGGGGGGGGGGUCCCUCAGCCGGGGUGUGAGAGGGCGCAGGCCAGGCCAAGGGACCCCACUGGUGCAUG
RNAcentral lists this microRNA precursor (73 nucleotides) under Myotis brandtii (Brandt's bat). Its description in RNAcentral is "mir-9193 microRNA precursor family". It matches the Rfam family "mir-9193 microRNA precursor family". The record is from Rfam by way of RNAcentral. Lineage: Eukaryota; Metazoa; Chordata; Mammalia; Chiroptera; Vespertilionidae.